This 467-nucleotide ribosomal RNA is filed under the name uncultured bacterium. RNAcentral describes it as "partial 16S ribosomal RNA". It matches the Rfam family "Bacterial small subunit ribosomal RNA", at positions 28 to 507 of the family's 1533-position model. The record is from RNAcentral.
GACGAACGCUGGCGGCGUGCUUAACACAUGCAAGUCGAACGGAAAGGCCCUGCUUUUGUGGGGUGCUCGAGUGGCAACGGGUGAGUAACACGUGAGUAACCUGCCCUUGACUUUGGGAUAACUUCAGGAAACUGGGGCUAAUACCGGAUAGGAGCUCCUGCUGCAUGGUGGGGGUUGGAAAGUUUCGGCGGUUGGGGAUGGACUCGCGGCUUAUCAGCUUGUUGGUGGGGUAGUGGCUUACCAAGGCUUUGACGGGUAGCCGGCCUGAGAGGGUGACCGGCCACAUUGGGACUGAGAUACGGCCCAGACUCCUACGGGGGGCAGCAGUGGGGAAUAUUGCACAAUGGGCGGAAGCCUGAUGCAGCAACGCCGCGUGCGGGAUGACGGCCUUCGGGUUGUAAACCGCUUUCGCCUGUGACGAAGCGUGAGUGACGGUAAUGGGUAAAGAAGCACCGGCUAACUACGUG